GACGAACGCGGCGGCGUGCCUAAUACAUGCAAGUAGAACGCUGAAGGAGGAGCUUGCUUCUCUGGAUGAGUUGCGAACGGGUGAGUAACGCGUAGGUAACCUGCCUGGUAGCGGGGGAUAACUAUUGGAAACGAUAGCUAAUACCGCAUAAGAGUAGAUGUUGCAUGACAUUUGCUUAAAAGGUGCAAUUGCAUCACUGCCAGAUGGACCUGCGUUGUAUUAGCUAGUUGGUGGGGUAACGGCUCACCAAGGCGACGAUACAUAGCCGACCUGAGAGGGUGAUCGGCCACACUGGGACUGAGACACGGCCCAGACUCCUACGGGGGGCAGCAGUAGGGAAUCUUCGGCAAUGGACGGAAGUCUGACCGAGCAACGCCGCGUGAGUGAAGAAGGUUUUCGGAUCGUAAAGCUCUGUUGUAAGAGAAGAACGAGUGUGAGAGUGGAAAGUUCACACUGUGACGGUAUCUUACCAGAAAGGGACGGCUAACUACGUGCCAGCAGCCGCGGUAAUACGUAGGUGGCAAGCGUUAUCCGGAUUUAUUGGGCGUAAAGAGAGUGCAGGCGGUUUUCUAAGUCUGAUGUGAAAGCCUUCGGCUUAACCGGAGAAGUGCAUCGGAAACUGGAUAACUUGAGUGCAGAAGAGGGUAGUGGAACUCCAUGUGUAGCGGUGGAAUGCGUAGAUAUAUGGAAGAACACCAGUGGCGAAGGCGGCUACCUGGUCUGCAACUGACGCUGAGACUCGAAAGCAUGGGUAGCGAACAGG
Molecule: ribosomal RNA, 763 nt
Filed under: uncultured Streptococcus sp.
Lineage: Bacteria; Bacillati; Bacillota; Bacilli; Lactobacillales; Streptococcaceae
Description: bacterial SSU rRNA
Rfam family: Bacterial small subunit ribosomal RNA
Source: RNAcentral